RNAcentral lists this ribosomal RNA (460 nucleotides) under uncultured bacterium. Its description in RNAcentral is "partial 16S ribosomal RNA". It matches the Rfam family "Bacterial small subunit ribosomal RNA", at positions 338 to 795 of the family's 1533-position model. The record is from RNAcentral.
CCUACGGGCGGCAGCAGUGAGGAAUAUUGGUCAAUGGGCGCGAGCCUGAACCAGCCAAGUAGCGUGAAGGAUGACUGCCCUACGGGUUGUAAACUUCUUUUAUAAAGGAAUAAAGUGAGGCACGUGUGCCUUUUUUUAUGUACGUUAUGAAUAAGGAUCGGCUAACUUCGUGCCAGCAGCGGCGGUAAUACGGAGGAUCCGAGCGUUAUCCGGAUUUAUUUGGUUUAAAGGGAGAGUAGAUGGGUUGUUAAGUCAGUUGUGAAAGUUUGCGGCUCAACCGUACAAUUGCAAUUGAUACUGGCUGGCUUGAGUACAGAUGAGGAAGGCGGAAUUCGUGGUGUAGCGGUGAAAUGCGUAGAUAUCACGAAGAACUCCGAUUGCGAAGGCAGCUUACUAAACUGCAACUGACGUUGAUGCUCGAAAGUGUGGGUAUCAAACAGGAUUAGAUACCCUAGUAGUC